CUACGGGUCGCUGCAGUGGGGAAUAUUGCGCAAUGGGGGAAACCCUGACGCAGCCAUGCCGCGUGUAUGAAGAAGGCCUUCGGGUCGUAAAGUACUUUCAGCGGGGAGGAAGGGAGUAAAGUUAAUACCUUUGCUCAUUGACGUUACCCGCAGAAGAAGCACCGGCUAACUCCGUGCCAGCAGCCGCGGUAAUACGGAGGGUGCAAGCGGUAAUCGGAAUUACUGGGCGUAAAGCGCACGCAGGCGGUUUGUUAAGUCAGAUGUGAAAUCCCCGGGCUCAACCUGGGAACUGCAUCUGAUACUGGCAAGCUUGAGUCUCGUAGAGGGGGGUAGAAUUCCAGGUGUAGCGGUGAAAUGCGUAGAGAUCUGGAGGAAUACCGGUGGCGAAGGCGGCCCCCUGGACGAAGACUGACGCUCAGGUGCGAAAGCGUGGGGAGCAAACAGGAUUAGAUACCCCAGUAGUC
This 464-nucleotide ribosomal RNA is filed under the name uncultured bacterium. RNAcentral describes it as "partial 16S ribosomal RNA". It matches the Rfam family "Bacterial small subunit ribosomal RNA", at positions 339 to 795 of the family's 1533-position model. The record is from RNAcentral.